This 76-nucleotide transfer RNA is filed under the name Sphingobacteriales bacterium TSM_CSS. RNAcentral's name for it is "tRNA-Thr". It matches the Rfam family "tRNA". From Rfam's summary of the family: Transfer RNA (tRNA) molecules are approximately 80 nucleotides in length. Their secondary structure includes four short double-helical elements and three loops (D, anti-codon, and T loops). The record is from RNAcentral. RNAcentral also lists the same sequence under 1 other name. Lineage: Bacteria; Pseudomonadati; Bacteroidota; Sphingobacteriia; Sphingobacteriales.
GCCAGCAUAGCUCAGUUGGUAGAGCAGCUGAUUUGUAAUCAGCUGGUCGGGGGUUCGAGUCCCUCUGCUGGCUCCC